Molecule: ribosomal RNA, 253 nt
Filed under: uncultured bacterium
Lineage: Bacteria
Description: partial 16S ribosomal RNA
Rfam family: Bacterial small subunit ribosomal RNA
Source: RNAcentral
UACGUAGGUGGCAAGCGUUGUCCGGAUUUACUGGGCGUAAAGAGCGCGCAGGCGGUCGUUCAAGUCGCGUGUGAAAGCCCCCGGCUCAACUGGGGAGGGUCACGCGAUACUGAUCGACUCGAAGGCAGGAGAGGGUAGUGGAAUUCCCGGUGUAGUGGUGAAAUGCGUAGAUAUCGGGAGGAACACCAGUGGCGAAGGCGACUACCUGGCCUGUUCUUGACGCUGAGACGCGAAAGCGUGGGGAGCAAACAGG